UAAGGAAUAUUGGUCAAUGGACGCAAGUCUGAACCAGCCAUGCCGCGUGAAGGAUUAAGGUCCUCUGGAUUGUAAACUUCUUUUUAUCUGGGACGAAAAAAGGCGAUUCUUCGUCACUUGACGGUACCAGAUGAAUAAGCACCGGCUAACUCCGUGCCAGCAGCCGCGGUAAUACGGAGGGUGCAAGCGUUAUCCGGAUUCACUGGGUUUAAAGGGUGCGUAGGCGGGCAGGUAAGUCAGUGGUGAAAUCCUGGAGCUUAACUCCAGAACUGCCAUUGAUACUAUCUGUCUUGAAUAUUGUGGAGGUAAGCGGAAUAUGUCAUGUAGCGGUGAAAUGCUUAGAUAUGACAUAGAACACCUAUUGCGAAGGCAGCUUACUACGCAUAUAUUGACGCUGAGGCACGAAAGCGUGGGGAUCAAACAGGAUUAGACACCCUGGUAGUCCACGCCCUAAACGAUGGAUACUCGACAUACGCGAUACACUGUGUGUGUCUGAGCGAAAGCAUUAAGUAUCCCCACCUGGGGAAGUACGACCGCAAGGUUGAAACUCAAAUGAAUUGACGGGGUCAUAGCUGUUUCCUG
RNAcentral lists this ribosomal RNA (582 nucleotides) under uncultured bacterium. RNAcentral's name for it is "partial 16S ribosomal RNA". It matches the Rfam family "Bacterial small subunit ribosomal RNA", at positions 355 to 1376 of the family's 1533-position model. The record is from RNAcentral.